This 98-nucleotide non-coding RNA is filed under the name Flavobacterium beibuense. RNAcentral describes it as "TPP sequence". It matches the Rfam family "TPP riboswitch aptamer (THI element)". Rfam says of the family: Vitamin B(1) in its active form thiamin pyrophosphate (TPP) is an essential coenzyme that is synthesised by coupling of pyrimidine and thiazole moieties in bacteria. The previously detected thiamin-regulatory element, thi box was extended, resulting in a new, highly conserved RNA secondary structure, the THI element, which is widely distributed in eubacteria and also occurs in some archaea. Analysis of operon structures identified a large number of new candidate thiamin-regulated genes, mostly transporters, in various prokaryotic organisms. RNAcentral also lists the same sequence under 1 other name. The record is from RNAcentral. Lineage: Bacteria; Pseudomonadati; Bacteroidota; Flavobacteriia; Flavobacteriales; Flavobacteriaceae.
AAUCUACUUUAGGGGUGUCUGCACUUUUGCAGGCUGAGAUUUUACCCUCUGAACCUGAUACAGUUCAUACUGGCGUAGGGAAAAGUAAGAUGACUUCU